Long non-coding RNA from Nerophis ophidion (straightnose pipefish), 703 nucleotides. RefSeq lists it as uncharacterized. The transcript is spliced from 3 exons. Lineage: Eukaryota; Metazoa; Chordata; Actinopteri; Syngnathiformes; Syngnathidae. The record is from RefSeq and is a predicted model, not a curated record.
UACAACCACAACUCCUGCAUUUGGCACAUUUAGUGACUCGGAUAUAGCCAACAACACGAGGGAAGAAAUGGCGUUAACAUUUGGUGACGAUAUCAAUGACAUUGACAUCCUCUACGUCUGCUCAAGGAGCACUCAGCAGCUCCACUCUGAGCGGAUCCAGACACGCCCUCACACGCGCUGCGCAGACCACGCCCACACGCCGCCGCAGCUAGAGGCAAUCAUCAAUCAGAACACCUGGAAGUGAUUACAGACAACAGGAUAAAGAGCCUCGCCACUGACUACUCCUCGUCGGAACGUUGCUCUGCUCGCAUCCCUGUCUCAGCUCCCGCUGCCAUUUUCCCCUGAACCCUGAUUGCCCUCCUGAUUCCCCGACACAUUGCCUGGACUUUGGACGCUCUCUCCGGCACUACGACCACGCUUGGACCCCGGACUACUUUGCCUUCCCCUUCUGGAUUUGGACGCCACUAUUCAACACGCAUGACAACACUCCUUACGGUACCUACAUAUGUUAAUUCCUGCACAUAGUUUUACAAUCAAACACAUAGUAGCAUACACACCCUACGUACCCAUAAAUCACUCAAUAAAUACAUUGAGUCUGUACUUCCGCUGUUGUGCCGUCUCCUUUCCCCGUCGUAGACCUAACAGAAAUACGGGCAUAUCUGGAUGACUUGCCUCCAUAUUUCCAGUGGUUACCUUCGAGUUA